RNAcentral lists this long non-coding RNA (535 nucleotides) under Bos taurus (domestic cattle). RNAcentral's name for it is "long non-coding RNA NONBTAT025790". Lineage: Eukaryota; Metazoa; Chordata; Mammalia; Artiodactyla; Bovidae. The record is from RNAcentral.
AAUAUAUUCUAGGCAUAGAUUCCCUAGCAGUUGGCUUCAGGCCUAACCUGGCCUUAGAAGAGACAUUACAAUUCAUUUUCUACCUUCUUCUGUUUAGCUAUAUGUUAUAUGUUGAAGGAACAUAAAACAACAUAAAUGAUGCUACUGAAAAUAUAUUUAAUAUAAUGAUGAUAUGAUUCAUUUCUUUCUGUCCUAGUUACCCAUACAAAGAACUACAUAUAUACUAGAACAAUGAAUUAUUUCUGUUUGGCAGGAAAUGUUAUUUUUUUAAACAAGUAAGUUAAAGUAUCGAUUGCUUGUUAGAAAAAUGAAACUUGAAAACCAGUGUAAUCUCCAAAAAACAGCAAAAAUGCUAUGGGACAUAUAAUAGCUGUUAAGUAUUAACUCGAUAAAACCAUAUUUUACUAAAAUAUUUUAUUGUAAUAAGAUUCACUAUGCUCAAAAUCAAUACAAAGUAAGUUAUAAUUAUUUACAUACAAAUAAGUGAAACUAUGUACAGUAGUUAAUAAUAGCUGAGUAAACAGCAUCAACACAA